RNAcentral lists this transfer RNA (85 nucleotides) under Crocuta crocuta (spotted hyena). It matches the Rfam family "tRNA". From Rfam's summary of the family: Transfer RNA (tRNA) molecules are approximately 80 nucleotides in length. Their secondary structure includes four short double-helical elements and three loops (D, anti-codon, and T loops). The record is from Rfam by way of RNAcentral. Lineage: Eukaryota; Metazoa; Chordata; Mammalia; Carnivora; Hyaenidae. RNAcentral also lists the same sequence under 1 other name.
GCCUGGGUGGCUCAGUCGGUUGAGCGUCCGACUUCGGCUCAGGUCAUGAUCUCGCGGUUUGUGGGUUUGAGCCCCGCGUCGGGCU